Molecule: long non-coding RNA, 110 nt
Organism: Polypterus senegalus (gray bichir)
Lineage: Eukaryota; Metazoa; Chordata; Cladistia; Polypteriformes; Polypteridae
Exons: 3
Source: RefSeq, a predicted model, not a curated record
GUCGAAGUUCAUCAUGUAGGCCAGCUGAGGCUUGUAGUUCUCUGUGAUCUUGAGGAGAUCUUCAUGUCAGAAUCCAUUAAUGACUUUAGAAAACCUCAGAGUCAAAGCUG